Molecule: ribosomal RNA, 460 nt
Filed under: uncultured bacterium
Lineage: Bacteria
Description: partial 16S ribosomal RNA
Rfam family: Bacterial small subunit ribosomal RNA
Source: RNAcentral
CCUACGGGAGGCUGCAGUGAGGAAUAUUGGUCAAUGGACGAGAGUCUGAACCAGCCAAGUAGCGUGAAGGAUGACUGCCCUAUGGGUUGUAAACUUCUUUUAUAUGGGAAUAAAAUGUUCCACGUGUGGGAUUUUGUAUGUACCAUAUGAAUACGGAUCGGCUAACUCCGUGCCAGCAGCCGCGGUAAUACGGAGGAUCCGAGCGUUAUCCGGAUUUAUUGGGUUUAAAGGGAGCGUAGGUGUAUUGGUAAGUCAGUUGUGAAAGUUUGCGGCUCAACCGUAAAAUUGCAGUUGAAACUGGCAGUCUGGAGGACAGUAGAGGUGGGCGGAAUUCGUGGUGUAGCGGUGAAAUGCUUAGAUAUCACGAAGAACUCCGAUUGCGAAGGCAGCUCACUGGACUGCAACUGACACUGAGGCUCGAAAGUGUGGGUAUCAAACAGGAUUAGAUACCCCAGUAGUC